This 585-nucleotide ribosomal RNA is filed under the name Triticum aestivum (bread wheat). RNAcentral describes it as "partial small subunit ribosomal RNA". The record is from RNAcentral. Lineage: Eukaryota; Viridiplantae; Streptophyta; Magnoliopsida; Poales; Poaceae.
AUGCAUCAUGUUAACAUCUCUUCCUACAUCCCGUUCAAGCUGUCCCUGGACUCCGGGAACUACUCGAAGUGGAGGCAGCUGCUCUGGUUCGUCCUGUGCAAGUACCAGGCCGAGGACCACGUCCUGGAGGAGGCUAAACCGCUGCAUGAGAAUGAGUCGCCGGAGAGCACCGUGUUCCACCUGUGGCAGCAGCUGGAUAUCUUCUUCUGGGACAACGCCGCCGGCCGCGCCAUCCACAUUGGCGCCAACUUCCGCGCCACCGUCCAGGGCGACAUGACGAUCGCCCAGUACUGCCGUCGCCUCCAGCAACUCGCCGCGGCCAUGGCCGACGUGGGGGAACCGGUUACGGACCGUUCUCUCACGCUGCAGCUGAUCCGCGGACUGAGCCGCCGUUUCCACGUGAUGGCCACUCUCCUCCCCAUGCAGCAGCCCUUCCCGACCUUCCUGCAGGCUCGGUCGCGGCUGCUCCUGGAGGAGAUCGCCGUCCUUGAGCGGGAGCGCGCCACUGGAGCCACCGCUCUCUCCGUAGGCCACACAGGGUCCUCGUCUUACGGCGGCGGGACUCCCUCCGGCGGUGACCGCUAG